Molecule: ribosomal RNA, 253 nt
Filed under: uncultured bacterium
Lineage: Bacteria
Description: partial 16S ribosomal RNA
Rfam family: Bacterial small subunit ribosomal RNA
Source: RNAcentral
UACGUAGGGUCCGAGCGUUAAUCGGAAUUACUGGGCGUAAAGCGUGCGCAGGCGGUUUUGUAAGUCAGAUGUGAAAGCCCCGGGCUCAACCUGGGAACUGCAUUUGGGACUGCAAGGCUGGAGUACGGCAGAGGGAGGUGGAAUUCCACGUGUAGCAGUGAAAUGCGUAGAGAUCGGGAGGAACAUCAGUUGCGAAGGCGGCUCUCUGGACCAGCACUGACACUGAGGCACGAAAGCGUGGGGAGCAAACAGG